GAGGGAAGCCGAGAGGAGAUGAUGGGAGGGAUGAGUAAUAAAAGUGAAAACUAAAACUAAAAACUGAAACUACUAGAAAUUAUUUUCACUUUCAAGUUUUUAUUUUUACUUUUGUUACUCCUCCCUCCCAUCCUCCCCUCUCAUUCAAACU
RNAcentral lists this microRNA precursor (151 nucleotides) under Prunus dulcis (almond). RNAcentral's name for it is "sRNA ncRNA". Lineage: Eukaryota; Viridiplantae; Streptophyta; Magnoliopsida; Rosales; Rosaceae. The record is from RNAcentral.